AUUGAACGCUGGCGGCAGGCUUAACACAUGCAAGUCGAGCGGGGGAAGGUAGCUUGCUACCGGACCUAGCGGCGGACGGGUGAGUAAUGCUUAGGAAUCUGCCUAUUAGUGGGGGACAACAUCUCGAAAGGGAUGCUAAUACCGCAUACGUCCUACGGGAGAAAGCAGGGGAUCUUCGGACCUCGCGCUAAUAGAUGAGCCUAAGUCGGAUUAGCUAGUUGGUGGGGUAAAGGCCUACCAAGGCGACGAUCUGUAGCGGGUCUGAGAGGAUGAUCCGCCACACUGGGACUGAGACACGGCCCAGACUCCUACGGGAGGCAGCAGUGGGGAAUAUUGGACAAUGGGGGGAACCCUGAUCCAGCCAUGCCGCGUGUGUGAAGAAGGCCUUAUGGUUGUAAAGCACUUUAAGCGAGGAGGAGGCUACUCUAGUUAAUACCUAGGGAUAGUGGACGUUACUCGCAGAAUAAGCACCGGCUAACUCUGUGCCAGCAGCCGCAGUAA
Molecule: ribosomal RNA, 501 nt
Filed under: uncultured bacterium
Lineage: Bacteria
Description: partial 16S ribosomal RNA
Rfam family: Bacterial small subunit ribosomal RNA
Source: RNAcentral